Molecule: long non-coding RNA, 207 nt
Filed under: Elaeis guineensis (African oil palm)
Lineage: Eukaryota; Viridiplantae; Streptophyta; Magnoliopsida; Arecales; Arecaceae
Description: long non-coding RNA (EGUI_LNC052618)
Source: RNAcentral
ACUGGAUUUGGGUGCCCCAGCAUUUUGCACCCUUUUCUUGUCCUUCUUAUUCUUCUUCCUUUUCUCAAAGGGUCGACAUUAAGAAGAAGAUCCUCCCACUAUAUUCACUGACUCCUUGUAGAGCUGGUGAUCCUUCUCAAAGUUCUGCAACAAUCCCAGCAAAUCGUGGUAGUUGACUGCAGGCUUUGUCAUUCAAAAAUGAGUAAG